Molecule: ribosomal RNA, 566 nt
Filed under: uncultured bacterium
Lineage: Bacteria
Description: partial 16S ribosomal RNA
Rfam family: Bacterial small subunit ribosomal RNA
Source: RNAcentral
UGGGGAAUAUUGGACAAUGGGCGCAAGCCUGAUCCAGCCAUGCCGCGUGAGUGAUGAAGGCCCUAGGGUUGUAAAGCUCUUUCACCGGUGAAGAUAAUGACGGUAACCGGAGAAGAAGCCCCGGCUAACUUCGUGCCAGCAGCCGCGGUAAUACGAAGGGGGCUAGCGUUGUUCGGAAUUACUGGGCGUAAAGCGCACGUAGGCGGACAUUUAAGUCAGGGGUGAAAUCCCGGGGGCUCAACCCCGGAACUGCCUUUGAUACUGGGUGUCUAGAGUUCGAGAGAGGUGAGUGGAAUUCCGAGUGUAGAGGUGAAAUUCGUAGAUAUUCGGAGGAACAACCAGUGGCGAAGGCGGCUCACUGGCUCGAUACUGACGCUGAGGUGCGAAAGCGUGGGGAGCAAAACAGGAUUAGAUACCCUGGUAGUCCACGCCGUAAACGAUGGAAGCCAGCUGUCAGCAAGUUUACUUGUCGGUGGCGCAGCUAACGCAUUAAAGCUUCCCGCCUGGGGAGUACGGUCGCAAGAUUAAAACUUAAAUAAAUUGACGGGGGUCAUAGCUGUUUCCUG